GUACCAACAGUAUCAUUGGAGGGGAAAGGGAAGAAUUUGUUUUUGCUACGAAAUCCCAAAGAUGUCUUCGUGUCCUACUAUUACCAUAUAAUGAAUAGAAAGGUUUUAGGUGCACGGAUGAGCUGGGAUGAUUACAUGUACUUGGUAAUUAACUAUGGAGGAAGUAGAUAUGAUUGGUAUGAAUACACCAACGAAUGGGAGAAAGAAAUGAACAAGAAGAAGACGAAUUACUUAUGUCUAUACUACGAGGAAAUAAAGAAGAACCCCCUUGCAACUGUCAAGUCCAUUGCAGAAUAUCUCGGAAUUUCUUGUUCGGAAACCUUAGCGAAGAAAUCGUUCACAAAUGUAAACUUGAAAACAUGAGAUCCGCCAAUAAAAAUAAAUAUGACGACAGAGGUCAGAGUGGUUCAAACCCGAAUAUGUAUGAUCCGGAUAGAAUGUACAGAAAAGGAGAAGUGGGGGACUGGAAGAACCACUUUACCGUGACUCAUAGCGAGGAAUUUGAUCAAGUUUAUCACAAAAAGAUGGCAGAAUCAUCCUUAGAUUUCGUCUUUGAAUAAGUUUCUUCCCGAUAUUUUUGACAAUAACCCAGACCCCAGAUAUUUGCAUUAAACUACUUUAUAUACUACUCAAAAUUUGAUAAGGAUCACUAGGUUAUAUGUGUGUAAUUUACCACUAACAUAACAAAAGACAUGAAUUUGACUCAGAAACGUGUUUACUCAGGUUAUGAAUGAAAAUUCAUGAACGGCAUGAACUUUUAUCAAUACGAAAUGCUUGAAAUCUGAUAACAACACCAAAAGGCAUUUCAUUACAAAAAGUUAACAGCAAACCAGAGAAAGAAUUACACAGUUUUUGGGAAUAGUCCAUCAUUACACUUAGUCGAUGAAGUGUCAAUACCGGGUAUGGCCUCCCCUUGCAUCAAUGACGGCUUGACAACGUCGAGCCAUGCUGUCAAUAAGCACCCGGAUGUUUCCAAUGGGAAGUUUGUUCCACUCUUCCACGAGGGCGUUUCCGAGCUCUGACAAAGUCGUGGGUUGUGCCGUACGACGUGAAAGGGCAACCUGCAGCAUGUUCCAUACAUGCUCAAUCGGGUUCAAGUCCGUCGAGCGCGCUGGCCAGUCAAUACGGACAAUUGUCUCCUGCUGAAGGUACUGCUACACCACCCUGGCGCGAUGAGGACGGGCGUUAUUAUCCAUCAGGAUGAUCUCAGAGCCAACAGCACCAGCGUAGGAUCUGAGGUAAACAUCGAGGAUCUCAUCCCGGUACCUCACCCCCGUCAUUGUUCCUCUCUCCAGGAUAUGAAGAUCUGUUCUUCCAUCCCUGCUGAUUCCACCCCAGACCAUGAUAGAACCACCACCAUAACGGUCAUAUUCACUGAUGUUGGCAUCAUGGAAACCACACUCGGUGCCUCCUGUCUGUAAAGUCCAAACAAUACCUGGACUCAUCGGUGAACAGAACAUGAACCCAAUUGUUCUGUGUCCAAGCGACAUGAUCUUCAGCCCACUCCAAUCGCUCCCGCCGGUGUCGAACAGUCAGAGGGACUCGAACACAUGUCCUUCUCGAGUUGAAACCUGCAUUGUGAAGCCGAUUCCGUAUAGUCUGAUUGGACACAUUCACCCCCGAGGCGUUCAGGAGGUCGUUACGUAGGCUGGUUGCUGUCCAGAAGGGAUGGCGUCGUGCCUGAAGAGCCACAAAAUGAUCUUGACGUUGGGUUCUCGACCUCUGACGACCAUCCCCAUGUCGGUGUGCUGCUGUACCAAAAGUUUACUGUCGGUUCCAAGCCCUGUUUACAACGCUCGGGCUGACAUUUAGUGUAUUUGCAACGUCACGUUGUGAAUAGCCAGCGUCAAGCAUUCCAAUACAUCUGCCCAGUUGUUCUGUCGUCAGGCGACGCCUUACACGUUGAGGGGGCAUUGUGUUGAUAAACGUAGUGUAAACACUCAAGUGAGUUUGAAAUUUUAGAAAGAAUCAGACACCGAUGCCUGAGUGAAAAUCGUGCAAUGGUAGCAAAAGCAUAAACUGUGAUGAGAAACGCAUUUCCUAUGGCAUGAAAUAUACGUGUAAGUUUGUUGAAAACGUUUUUGAUUUCACUUGGACACAAUAUUGCCAGUUAUGCAGUUAUUAAUUUUUUAAACAGAAAAAUAUCUAUGAUCUUUAUCAAAUUUUGAGUAGUAUAUUUUAUUUCUAUUUUCAUCCACUGUUGAUAAGGUAACUGCUUUAAUCAGAUGAAGAGUAGCACAUCAUGAAAGUUAAACAGAAUUCCAAUGAUUGUUAUCAAUGAUCUAAUGUACAUCAAUUCCAAUGUACAAUUAUUCAUUCAUCGAGAAAACUUGCAUAUGCUAUAUAAUAAAACUUGUUUUAAUU
Molecule: RNA transcript, 2364 nt
Organism: Ostrea edulis (European flat oyster)
Lineage: Eukaryota; Metazoa; Mollusca; Bivalvia; Ostreida; Ostreidae
Gene name: sulfotransferase 1C2-like
Exons: 4
Source: RefSeq, a predicted model, not a curated record